CUAUUUAACUAAAAUAAGAGUAUGUCUUGAAAACAUAAAAUAGUUGCUAAACUCAACUAAUAGU
RNAcentral lists this transfer RNA (64 nucleotides) under Allopsontus sp. 2 JZ-2014. Its description in RNAcentral is "tRNA-Ser". Lineage: Eukaryota; Metazoa; Arthropoda; Insecta; Archaeognatha; Machilidae. The record is from RNAcentral.